Long non-coding RNA from Lycium ferocissimum, 2270 nucleotides. RefSeq lists it as uncharacterized. Lineage: Eukaryota; Viridiplantae; Streptophyta; Magnoliopsida; Solanales; Solanaceae. The record is from RefSeq and is a predicted model, not a curated record. The transcript has 2 exons.
UUGUCUUCUAGACUGAUAAAAAAAGAAGUAUCUGUCUUCUAAUGUUGCAGCAUCAAAUGCAGGAAAUAAUUGAUUUAGCAUUGUUAUGAGUAACAUGCUUUUGUUUUUCCCUUGUAUAGUGCUUAUAAGAGGCAUUUGAUUUCUUCCAAUACGUCCCAACUAUAAAUAUAGACCAUUUUGAACUUCUGAUGUUAAGCACGCUUAAUCUAGUUAUAUCUAUUUUUAACCAAAUAUAGUCAGGGUAACGUCCUUUCUCCACCGACUUCCCAAAAAGUGGAAGGCGGCUGUUUCUUGUAUUUUAGCAAGUACAAGAAAGUAAAUUUGCAAGAUAUCAGCUUGUCUUGUGUUUUCCCUUAGAGAAAAUAUUAUUAGAGUGGAAGAUGGCAGAUUUCAUCUGAAAAUCUAAUCUAAAAAAGAAAAAGGAAAGGAAAAAGGAUGAGGGGGGCUAACUUUUCCCCUGUAGACACGAGUAAUAUGAAAAUAACUAUGCUGCAGAGGAUAUCAGAAUUUACCACCUGUACUGCGAGAAUAGUCAUCUAACAGCUAUGUUUUUCCUGUCAUGAAGCCAGUUUUGGGUCUUCACUAUUGUUUUUAUUACGUCUGGCUCUUAUUCUUUUAGGCUUUUCAUGAACAACUAAAUCUCUUAGAAAGGGAGGAUCCUUGUUUCAGUUUCUUUAGAAAGGACUACAAUAUAAUAAUUGCAUCCUCCCUAACCUCUUCCGCAACAUGCAGACUUUAGGAUUGCUUCUGCCUACUCUAUCCUAUUUCAUUGCUAUAUGCAAACUGAGUUUGUUAAUUUUCUACCUGAAUACAGAAAAGUUGGGUUGAAUAGGUAAAUGACGAGGGGAAGCUGAGAAAGAGCUGGUAAAGGAGAUAGCUAGUGUAUCACACAAGUGGGGUCUGGGGAGGGUGGAGUGUACGCAAACCUUACCCUUACCUUGGGAGGUAGAGAGGCUAUUUCCAAUAGACCCUCGGCUCAAAGAAAAGCAAACAAAAGCAAUCCGGAAAAGGAAAUAACAGAAGAAAAGAAACAACAGAUAAUAACUAACAGAAAUCAAGUUUUCUGAAAAAAGGAACAGUAGCCUAAUUGCCACAAAAAUCAUACGAUCAUUAAAGUACAAGAAGCACCAAGUAAUAACAGAAAUCAAAGGACAAGAAACUACCAGAGUAAUACUACGACUACAAGGAUGGAAAGAUAAGCGUGACAAUGCUCAACUACCUACUAGCCUUCUACCCUAAUCCGUGUCCUCCAUAACCUCCUAUCUAUGGUCAUGUUCUUGGUGAGCUAUAAUUGUACCAUGUCCUGUCUAAUCACCUCUCCCCAAUACUUCUUCGGCAUACCUCUACCUCUCUUGAAACCAUCCAUAGCCAACCCUCACACCUCUGCAAUGGGGCAUCCGUGCAUCUCCUCUUCACAUGCCUGAUAAAGGAGAUAGCUCCGCAAUGGGACUUGGGAACAGCUGAACAGGUCGUAAUCUUCGGUCAUUUCUUUAUUGCCUUAAUGAAAAUGUUUCCUCUUGUCUCAUUUCCUUUAUUAUUGUGUCUCAACGGGCAAGUCAAUACAUGGUUUGAGACAAGGUCCAUUGGUAGAUUGCUGUUUUCCAUCGCUGAGGAGUAUUACCCAGCUUUAACUCCUUUGAAGUCAAGGUAUAGUGAUGCAUAACUGAUGGACUAUAUGUGAUGAGUGUCCUGCUAUGCCCCACACUAGGAUUGAGUGGCACAUCACAAAUGUAGGAGUUUUCUGUGGGUUUUGCACUGCAUUCUUGUCCCAAGAAGAGUAAAGACUAAAGUAUUUAAGAACUGAAUUUUUAACAAAUUAAGAGCUGUUGAGACUGAUAACUUGCUGAUAAUUACCUGAAAGGGUGCUGGUCAUUUGGUUUAUAUGGCGGGAAGUGGAAGAUUGAUAAUCAAUUAAGUGCUAAUGUGUGAUCUUGGGUCUGUUUCUGUGGUUUCAGAAGCUGUGAGCACAGGAACUAGAGACAUGGAAUAUUUUGUGAUAAUGUCAGGAAUUGUGUACUUGAAAUCAUGUGAAAUGUUGAUGGAAUGCUGUUCUGCAUUGCUAUAUUUCCAUCAGGUCAAAUGGUCAUCUUUAGGGAAGUCGACAGCAUACUUUCAAUCUUUAUUCUUCUGGGCUCUUUUAGCCAUUUCUAGUUACUCUCUUCUGGAUAAGAUAACAGCUGUUAAUUAGUUUUUAGGUUGCAUAAUUGCGAGUCCUAAUCCACUAUAUGAUUUGGAAUACAAGCAUGUGUUCUGAAUAACUUUGGAGACAU